Molecule: transfer RNA, 72 nt
Filed under: Schistosoma japonicum
Lineage: Eukaryota; Metazoa; Platyhelminthes; Trematoda; Strigeidida; Schistosomatidae
Description: tRNA-OTHER
Source: RNAcentral
GACUCAAUGGUCCAAUGGUAAAGCGCUCGCUGCCGAGUCAGAGAAUUCUGGGUUCGAUCCCCGACUGAGUCG